This 503-nucleotide ribosomal RNA is filed under the name uncultured Desulfobulbus sp. RNAcentral describes it as "bacterial SSU rRNA". It matches the Rfam family "Bacterial small subunit ribosomal RNA", at positions 879 to 1382 of the family's 1533-position model. The record is from RNAcentral. Lineage: Bacteria; Pseudomonadati; Thermodesulfobacteriota; Desulfobulbia; Desulfobulbales; Desulfobulbaceae.
AGCCCGCUCAAGAAACUCAAAGGAAGUUGACGGGGCCCGCACAAGCGGUGGAGUAUGUGGUUUAAUUCGAUGCAACGCGAAGAACCUUACCUGGUCUUGACAUCCCGGAGACCCUUAGGAAACUAGGGGGUGCUUCCAUCUGGAAGAAUCUGGAGACAGGUGCUGCAUGGCUGUCGUCAGCUCGUGUCGUGAGAUGUUGGGUUAAGUCCCGCAACGAGCGCAACCCUUGCCUUUAGUUGCCAGCAGUUCGGCUGGGCACUCUAAAGGGACUGCCGGUGUUAAACCGGAGGAAGGUGGGGAUGACGUCAAGUCCUCAUGGCCUUUAUGACCAGGGCUACACACGUACUACAAUGGCCGAUACAAAGGGCAGCGACACUGCGAGGUGAAGCCAAUCCCGUAAAAUCGGUCUCAGUCCGGAUUGGAGUCUGCAACUCGACUCCAUGAAGUUGGAAUCGCUAGUAAUCGUGGAUCAGCAUGCCACGGUGAAUACGUUCCCGGGCCUU